RNAcentral lists this ribosomal RNA (411 nucleotides) under uncultured bacterium. RNAcentral's name for it is "bacterial SSU rRNA". It matches the Rfam family "Bacterial small subunit ribosomal RNA", at positions 505 to 916 of the family's 1533-position model. The record is from RNAcentral.
GUGCCAGCAGCCGCGGUAAUGCGUAGGUGGCAAGCGUUGUCCGGAAUUACUGGGCGUAAAGCGUGCGCAGGCGGUUAUAUAAGACAGAUGUGAAAUCCCCGGGCUCAACCUGGGAACUGCAUUUGUGACUGUAUGGCUAGAGUACGGCAGAGGGGGAUGGAAUUCCGCGUGUAGCAGUGAAAUGCGUAGAUAUGCGGAGGAACACCGAUGGCGAAGGCAAUCCCCUGGGCCUGUACUGACGCUCAUGCACGAAAGCGUGGGGAGCAAACAGGAUUAGAUACCCUGGUAGUCCACGCCCUAAACGAUGUCAACUGGUUGUUGGGUCUUCACUGACUCAGUAACGAAGCUAACGCGUGAAGUUGACCGCCUGGGGAGUACGGCCGCAAGGUUGAAACUUAAAGAAAUUGACGG